CAGCAGCCGCGGUAAUUCCAGCUCCAAUAGCGUAUAUUAAAGUUGUUGCAGUUAAAAAGCUCGUAGUUGAACCUUGGGCCUGGCUGGCCGGUCCGCCUUACCGCGUGUACUGGUCCGGCCGGGCCUUUCCUUCUGGGGAGCCGCAUGCCCUUCGCUGGGCGUGCCGGGGAACCAGGACUUUUACUUUGAAAAAAUUAGAGUGUUCAAAGCAGGCCUUUGCUCGAAUACAUUAGCAUGGAAUAAUGGAAUAGGACGUGCGGUCCUAUUUUGUUGGUUUCUAGGACCGCCGUAAUGAUUGAUAGGGACAGUCGGGGGCAUCCGUAUUCAAUUGUCAGAGGUGAAAUUCUUGGAUCUAUUGAAGACGAACUACUGCGAAAGCAUUUGCCAAGGAUGUUUUCAUUAAUCAGUCGAACGAAAGUUAGGGGAUCGAAGACGAUCAGAUACCGUCGUAGUCUUAACCAUAAACUAUGCCGACUAGGGAUCGGUGGAUGUUUCUAUUUUGACUCCAUCGGCACCUUACGAGAAAUCAAAGUUUUUGGGUUCUGGGGGGAGUAUGGUCGCAA
RNAcentral lists this ribosomal RNA (563 nucleotides) under Teratosphaeria epicoccoides. Its description in RNAcentral is "SSU rRNA". It matches the Rfam family "Eukaryotic small subunit ribosomal RNA", at positions 568 to 1134 of the family's 1831-position model. Lineage: Eukaryota; Fungi; Ascomycota; Dothideomycetes; Mycosphaerellales; Teratosphaeriaceae. The record is from RNAcentral.